Molecule: ribosomal RNA, 460 nt
Filed under: uncultured bacterium
Lineage: Bacteria
Description: partial 16S ribosomal RNA
Rfam family: Bacterial small subunit ribosomal RNA
Source: RNAcentral
CCUACGGGUGGCAGCAGUGAGGAAUAUUGGUCAAUGGACGAGAGUCUGAACCAGCCAAGUAGCGUGAAGGAUGACUGCCCUAUGGGUUGUAAACUUCUUUUAUAUGGGAAUAAAAUGUUCCACGUGUGGGAUUUUGUAUGUACCAUAUGAAUAAGGAUCGGCUAACUCCGUGCCAGCAGCCGCGGUAAUACGGAGGAUCCGAGCGUUAUCCGGAUUUAUUGGGUUUAAAGGGAGCGUAGGUGGAGUGUUAAGUCAGUUGUGAAAGUUUGCGGCUAAACCGUAAAAUUGCAGUUGAAACUGGCAGUCUUGAGUACAGGAGAGGUGGGCGGAAUUCGUGGUGUAGCGGUGAAAUGCGUAGAUAUCACGAAGAACUCCGAUUGCGAAGGCAGUUCACUGGACUGCAACUGACACUGAGGCUCGAAAGUGUGGGUAUCAAACAGGAUUAGAUACCCGAGUAGUC